CACACAGCAAAGCGACAAAAACAGACCCGCCCUUAGCCUGCUGCAACCCAGUCGGGGAGACUGACCUUUAAGAGUCACGCAAAUAAGAAAUGACAGGUGACAAGUUUGCCAGGAGCAGUCCGUCAUCCCCAACAAGACAACGUUCUGUUUACUUCUUCAAAAAUUUUUCUAAUGUUUUCAUAUCUGAAUCAGCUAAUAAGAUAUCAUCCAUAUAGUGGUAAAUUAUGGAUUGAGGAAAUUGAUUACGAAUUGUCUCCAACGGCUGUUGUACAAAAUAUUGGCACAAAGUAAGACUGUUUAACAUCCCCUGUGGUAAGACCCUCCAGUGACAGCUUCUAUUCAAAGUGGGUACUGAGAAAGCAAACCUUUCUCUAUCAUGUUCAUGUAAAGGAACUGUGAAAAAGCAAUCCUUUAAAUCAAUCACCAUAAUAGGCUAUUCCUUAGGUAACAAGGAAGGCAAUGGGAUUCCAGAUUGUAACGAUCCCAUUGGCUGAAUAAUUUUGUUAAUUGCUCUGAGAUCUGUUAACAUCCUCCAUUUGCCAGAUUUCUUUUUGAUGACAAAUACAGGAGAAUUCCAAGGGCUGUUGGACUCCUCUAUAUGGUACGGCCCCAGCUGUUCCCAGGACCAGCUGUUCUAGUGCCAGUAAUUUUUCUUUACUCGUAGACCAUUGUUCAAUCCAAAUAGCUUGGUCAGCCAACCACCUUAGUGGUAAGGCUGUGGAGUUUUUAUCAGCAGUGGCUUCCCAGCAUGAAGUUGAAAAGACGGCAUCUGCUGUAUUUUUGUUUAUGGACAGCCUAGACAGUCUGUAACUGUUUUUGAUGGCAUUUUAAAAAUAAUUUUAAUUUCUUUAUCAGGAGUAUUACCUGUUUUUUGGCUUGCCUCUGAAAUUGGGGGAUGUUAAUCUGGGUUUGUGGGGGGAUGUUAAUCUGGGUUUUCCUUGGUUGUAAUAGAUCUCUUUCCCAUAAGUUUAUGGCUAUCUCAGCUACGUAUGGCCCUGAUUUUCUUAUUUGACCUUCUGGUCCUGUACAUUUAAGCCACCUGACACUUUGUUUUACUUUAGAUAAAGUUCCAACUCCUUGGAAUUGCAUAUCAACCUCUUGAAGUGGCCAAUUUGGGGACCAGGAUUUAGGAGUGAUGGUUGCGACAUCAGCCUCAGUAUCCACCAUGCUUUCAAUUUCAAUAUUACUUAAAUUUAUCUUUAACUUUGGCCUUUGAUCAUCUAUAGAGGUUUGCCAGCAUAUUUGUUCUUUGUUUCCUUCCUGUUUUUUUUUAUUUAUUUAUCUAUAGAACUUGCUCUGACCUAUCUGAUUUUUUAAUGUCUAAUUUUUAUUCCCAGAGCAGUGGUGGUUAAUUUUCUUGUGGAGGAGUAUCCCUGUCCUGUAUUGCGGCCUUCGAAGGGCCCUCGUGGGAGUUUUUUGAUAAAGGAUCACUCCAUUUAUCUGUUGCUGCUCUACCUUCACUAGGCCAGUGGUGAUCCUUGCCACAUCUUCUGCAUAUUCUAGGAAGCAUGUGCUCCUUUUUCGAAUUAUUUUGGUUUUCCUUGUAAUUUCCUUUGUAGUAACCUCGUCCACCACAAUUAAGACAUUUCCUAAGGUCUUUAGGGCUAGCUUCUCCUAUCAAGGUCAUACUAGGUGAGUGAGGUCUGAUGUCAAUCCUAUUUCUAAUCUAUUUGUCUGUUGGUGCAGAUCUUGCUCUUAAUGGCCUUAUUGCCUCUUUGCAUUCAGUAUUAGCAUUUUCAUAAGCUAAAUAUCCUAUUAGUGCCUUUUAGCUAGUGGAUCUGAUAUACUUCUAUCCACAGCUGAGGCCAAUCUUUGCAAAAAGUUAGUGAAUGUUUCACUUGGACCUUGUAUGACCUGGGAGAAUGGCUCAAGCCUUUUUCCUGAUUCCUCAACCUUGUCCCAGGCAUUUAAGGCUGCUAGGGUGACAUAAUGCUAAGGUUUCUUCAUUAUAUACAGCUUGCAUCUCUGUGUCAGCACAUUGGCCAUCACCAAGCAGCUGUUCCUUAGAAUCACUAACACCUCUGGCUCUAUUUUUGUGUGCUAUCUCUCUAGCCUCUUCUCUCCACCAUGAAAACCAUUGUAAAUAUGGCCCAGGUUCUAAUAUUGCCUUUGCCAUAUCCUCCCGGUCCUUUGGGAUUACUCUACUUCUGAUUGACCAGGAAGUCAGCAUUUGUUUUAUGAAUGGUGAGUGCAUUCCAAAAUUAGUGACACUUUCCUUAAAUUUCCUCAGAGCUAGCACUUCCACAGGGCGCCAUUCAGCUUCGUGAUAAUCCAGUGGAUGAUCAUCAUCUGCUGGUCUCUGCUAUAUACUGACUGGAUAAACUAACGUUUGUUUUCUAACCACCUUUGGCUGGCCUUCUUUAUUUUUAUCUUUCGCCUCUGCCUGAGGCGAAAGAUAAAAAUGUUCUUUACUUAGUAUUCUAAACUCUUCUCUUAAGGUCUGUACCCAUAUUUCACACCUACCUUUCUGUUGUUUGUUUUGUUCAAUAAUCUCUUGUUUUAUGCCUCACUUCCAACUUUUAAUUUUUUCUUUAUAUUGUUCUAGUUGUUCUUGUGCUGUUCCAGUAUCUUUCCUAAAGCCCUUCCUUGCCUUUGAGAAGACAUAAAAGGCUGAUCCAAUGAUUAAUGAGGGCUAUGAAUUAACCAUAGUCAUCAUUUCUAAAUUUUCCUUUAUUUCUGUCUUAAAACUGUAGAAGAGAUUAUCAGCCAAGCUCCAAGAAGCCUGUUUUAUUGUCUCUCCCAUCCUGUCCGCUUUGUUGCCUUAACAUUUGUAAAUAGCAUAAAAGUGUGAUUAUUAAAGUUUACCUGAUCAUAA
This is a long non-coding RNA of Meriones unguiculatus (Mongolian gerbil), 2815 nucleotides long. RefSeq lists it as uncharacterized. The record is from RefSeq and is a predicted model, not a curated record. The transcript is spliced from 2 exons. Lineage: Eukaryota; Metazoa; Chordata; Mammalia; Rodentia; Muridae.